GACGAACGCUGGCGGCGUGCUUAACACAUGCAAGUCGAACGGAAAGGCCCUGCUUGCAGGGUACUCGAGUGGCGAACGGGUGAGUAACACGUGGGUGAUCUGCCCUGCACUUCGGGAUAAGCCUGGGAAACUGGGUCUAAUACCGGAUAGGAGCCAUUUUUAGUGUGAUGGUUGGAAAGUUUUUUCGGUGUAGGAUGAGCUCGCGGCCUAUCAGCUUGUUGGUGGGGUAAUGGCCUACCAAGGCGGCGACGGGUAGCCGGCCUAAGAGGGUGGACGGCCACAUUGGGACUGAGAUACGGCCCAGACUCCUACGGGAGGCAGCAGUGGGGAAUAUUGCACAAUGGGCGCAAGCCUGAUGCAGCGACGCCGCGUGGGGGAUGACGGCCUUCGGGUUGUAAACGCCUUUCGCUAGGGACGAAGCUUUUUGUGACGGUACCUAGAUAAGAAGCACCGGCUAACUACGUG
Molecule: ribosomal RNA, 465 nt
Filed under: uncultured bacterium
Lineage: Bacteria
Description: partial 16S ribosomal RNA
Rfam family: Bacterial small subunit ribosomal RNA
Source: RNAcentral